CAAUCGAACCCGGAGAUAGCUGGUUCUCCUCGAAAUAGCUUUAGGGCUAGCCUCGCAUUAGUUUACCGGAGGUAGAGCACUGAAUGGUCUAGGGGGCCUCACCGCCUACCGAAACCUAUCAAACUGCGAAUGCCGGAUAAAUGAUGUGCGGGAGUCAGGCCGCGAGAGAUAAGUUCCGCGGUCAAAAGGGGAACACCCCAGAUCGUCUGCUAAGGUCCCCAAGUACGCGUUAAGUGGGAAAGGAUGUUGGAUUGCACAGACAACCAGGAUGUUGGCUUAGAAGCAGCCACACAUUCAAAGAGUGCGUAAUAGCUCACUGGUCGAGUGAUCCAGCGCCGAAAAUGUAACGGGGCUAAAACGCGACACCGAAGCAGCGGGAUGCGUAAGCAUCGGUAGAGGAGCAUUGUGUGAGGAUAGAAGCCAGAGCGGGAGCACUGGUGGACUUCACAGAAGAGAGAAUGCCGGUAUGAGUAGCGAGACCCAUGCGAGAAACAUGGGCGUCGAAGGCCCAAGGUUUCCUGGGGAAGGUUCAUCCACCCAGGGUAAGUCGGGACCUAAGCCGAGGACUGAGGUCGUAGGCGAUGGACAGCAGGUAGAGAUUCCUGCACCACUUACACUUGUUUGACGAAGCAGUGACACAGAAGGAUAGGACGAGCGCGGUGAUGGUCAACCGCGUAGGCGGCACGAGGCUGGGGAGCAGUAAAGUACACUUCCCGUGAAGGCUGAGUGCUGACAGGACCGAAAAAGAGUAGGGAAGCGUCUGAGUUCACGCUGGCGAGAAAAGCUGCUAAGGAGAGUGUGAGUGCCCGUACCGGAAACCGACGCAGGUGGGCGAGGAGAGAAUCCUGAGACGGACGGGAGAACUCUUGUUAAGGAACUCGGCAAAAUGACCCCGUAACUUCGGGAGAAGGGGUGCCUCGAAAGAGGCCGCAGAGAAUAGUCACAAGCGACUGUUUAGCAAAAACACAGGUAUCUGCGAAAGCGAGAGCUGACGUAUAGGUGCUGACGCCUGCCCGGUGCUGGAAGGUUAAGGGGAAGUGUUAGGGGAAACCCGAAGCAGAGAACCGAAGCCCCAGUAAACGGCGGCCGUAACUAUAACGGUCCUAAGGUAGCGAAAUUCCUUGUCGGGUAAGUUCCGACCCGCACGAAUGGCGUAACGACUUGUGAGCUGUCUCAACAGGAGGCCCGGUGAAAUUGAAGUAUGUGUGAAGAUGCACAUUACCCGCGACUGGACGGAAAGACCCCGUAGAGCUUUACUGUAACCUGACAUUGGAUCUUGAUAACGGAUGCACAGGAUAGGUGGGACGCUGGGAGGUAUGGACUUUGGUCUGUACGGAGCGGACGUUGGGAUACCACUCUUCUGUUAUUGAGAUUCUAACCUCAAGCCGUAAGCCGGAUGAGAGACAGUGUCAGGCGGACAGUUUGACUGGGGCGGUCGCCUCCGAAAGAGUAACGGAGGCGCCCAAAGGUACCCUCAGAAUGGAUGGAAACCAUUCGAAGAGAGCAAAGUCAGAAGGGUGCUUGACUGCGAGACCAACAAGUCGAGCAGGUACGAAAGUAGGGCUUAGUGAUCCGGCGGUAAGAGAGUGGAAUUGCCGUCGCUCAACGGAUAAAAGCUACCUCGGGGAUAACAGGCUGAUCUCCCCCAAGAGUUCACAUCGACGGGGAGGUUUGGCACCUCGAUGUCGGCUCAUCGCAUCCUGGAGCUGAAGUCGGUUCCAAGGGUUGGGCUGUUCGCCCAUUAAAGCGGUACGCGAGCUGGGUUCAGAACGUCGUGAGACAGUUCGGUCCCUAUCUGUCGUGGGCGUAGGAAGUUUGAGAAGAUCUGUCCUCAGUACGAGAGGACCGGGAUGGACAUAUCAAUGGUGCACCAGUUGUCACGCCAGUGGCACAGCUGGGUAGCUAAAUAUGGAAGGGAUAAACGCUGAAGGCAUCUAAGUGUGAAACCCACUUCAAGAUGAGACUUCCCAUUACGCAAGUAGGUAAGACCCCUUAAAGACGAUAAGGUUGAUAGGUCAGGAGUGUAAGCAUGGUGACAUGUUCAGCGGACUGAUACUAAUAGGUCGAGGACUUAACCUA
This 2079-nucleotide ribosomal RNA is filed under the name human gut metagenome. Its description in RNAcentral is "bacterial LSU rRNA". It matches the Rfam family "Bacterial large subunit ribosomal RNA", at positions 830 to 2925 of the family's 2925-position model. The record is from RNAcentral.